RNAcentral lists this transfer RNA (67 nucleotides) under Calacta lugubris. Its description in RNAcentral is "tRNA-Val". The record is from RNAcentral. Lineage: Eukaryota; Metazoa; Arthropoda; Insecta; Hemiptera; Plataspidae.
CAGAUCAUGCCUUGGGCAUUUAUUAUUUACAUUAAUAACUUAAUUUGUGCGAUUCAAAUUGAUCUGA